This is a long non-coding RNA of Alligator mississippiensis (American alligator), 1081 nucleotides long. RefSeq lists it as uncharacterized. The transcript is spliced from 5 exons. NCBI's taxonomy places the organism in Eukaryota, Metazoa, Chordata, Crocodylia, Alligatoridae. The record is from RefSeq and is a predicted model, not a curated record.
UUACAUCUUAAAUGCACAUUCAGGGCCUCAAAGCAGCGUCUCUUGGUGUUGUAUUAGAAAAAGGUGUGUGGGGGGGGGAUCAGUCCUGCAAUGCAACUGUGUACACACUUGACAAAUAUGCAAAAGAGGGCAUAAAUAAAAGCAGCAGAAGAUCCAAAGGCAGUAACAAUGAAGUUAUACAGGAGAUAUGAAGAGACGAUUAACUGCCUAAGUUACAGGACCUGACUCAAUCAUUUGAGGUUAAUGUCUUUAUUGGAAGAAAAGAAGUUCAGAAGUCAAGGACUUGCAGGGACACACCGACAUAGCACCAAGACUGAAGAAAAGAAUUAUUACCACCACCAACAGGCAUAAUGCUAGCUGCCAUCGAGGUGAGCCAAGGUCAUGGAUACCACUGCUUUCAUGCAGAUGUAGAACUCCUCGUCUAGACCAAAAGGGAAGAGGGCUAGCAAUGCAUAAGCAAGGGAAGCAUGUGGAUCAAUGUGUAUGGGGCACACAGUCAGAGAUCUUCCAUUGUUAGAAAUGAUGGUGUGAGCUUUGUUUUAUUUUUUCAAGAACACCUAAUAGCUAAAACCUGCAAAAACACAAUGAAGAUUGAAGACAAACUUCUAAAUAUGCUUAUCUGAAAAAGGUUUCUUCAACCAAAUGUAACUCUACAUAUGGACUGGGCUCAUUCAAAGUCAACCUACCACUUCUCAUCUCAAGCCACAUCAAAUAUCAGAUGUUCAAGGUAUAUCUACAUUGUAAUCCAGGAAAAUGUGAUUGUAGCUCGCAUAGACGUAUAGGAGCUAAUUUUAAUUUCACUACUUAAUGUACUGUUGGCAUUGAAUCUGUGCCAAUAUGCUUAAUGUGGACUAGUUUGACAGCCCACAUUGUACCUUGGGCUACUCUAGCUACAUUUAUCUGUAUUCAAGCUUGCUGGUUUAAAGCUAACUUGGGUAGGUCUACACAUGCUGAAAUCACAGUUUUCAACUGCAGUCUGGAUCAACCCUCAGAAAAGUUAAACUUGAUCCUACUUCCAUUACUUCCCUUGAACUGUCAAUUUGUGCAAGCAUUCUUCUGAAUCAUUAAAUGUGUGUAUUUC